Long non-coding RNA from Clupea harengus (Atlantic herring), 957 nucleotides. RefSeq lists it as uncharacterized. The record is from RefSeq and is a predicted model, not a curated record. Lineage: Eukaryota; Metazoa; Chordata; Actinopteri; Clupeiformes; Clupeidae.
AGGACGUUACGGAGCCCUGCUGGUAUUGCAUGAUGUCUCUGCUUCGUGAGGACCUGAGUCUGAGUCAGCCUCUGCUGCAAUUGAGGGGUGAUGUCUGCUCGCCGCCCCCUGGUGGCAGAAGUCCAAGCUACCAGACGGACCCCAGGCCCCACUUUGGAAUUCCAAACUCGUCUCGCUCCACGCCCUUCCCUCUGUGGGGCAGCAGAGGGCCUCGUGAGUUCAGGAAGGAGGAGAGGAGGAGGAGGAAGAGGAGGAGGAGGUAUGCAUGUGUCCUCACUGCAACCUGGCCCUUCCUCCAGACACACUCCGCUGGCACCGAGGCAAAAUGUGUAUUAUUCGAAGGCCUGACAAACACAACAGCAACAACAAGUGAUUGAUCUCUUACACUAUUUAUCCUUUGGAAGAUCUUUUAGCCAUGAUAACGAAUCCCCAAAGAGACCACAGUGGUGCAUAGCAUUGCAUGGUGGAAGUCCUUCAUGUCAAUAGGAUGCCACAGCAAGCACUGUACAGACUACUGACAUUCAUAAAGUUUUGAAACAUCAUUCAUCCUACCUUGUGAGAAAGAUAUUCAUUUUUCAUGUAUUUAACACAGGUAUCCAGGGACUCUUUUAAAAUCUGUCAGCUUGGAUUUCCGUAAUCAUUACAGUAAUGUGCAUGUUGUCAAAGCCGACUUAUAAUCGAACUCAUGUAUUGCCACUUCAACCUCAUCAGGAUUUAGAUCGCAAACAAACCUUGAAUGCUUUCUGAUACUUCUGUUUAUUAUUUAUAUUUGGUUUCAGUGGAUCAGCUCAGUAAAAGGCAUCAUUGCUCUUUUAACUGUAAUUUCCAUUUUUCCAGUUUUACAGAAUAAAACUAAUAAAUUAACUGUAAAACAGUUCAUAUAAAAUAAAACUACACACUAUAUCUCUACAAAAUUAAAUGUAUUUUUAUAAUAAAAUGUAUUUUCUUGAAAUAAAA